UUAAAAUUCUCUAUGCUUUCUCUCUAAGUUUCUGACUCCUGUAAUCAUCUGUUCAACGAUCAGAGACCGCUAGGGGAAUCCCUGCGACACGCCCUACGUUUCUGUCCGAUCAAUUUCUCAAACAGAGGAGAAUUGGGGACUCUGUCGGGUUGUGAAGUGUAUUUGGACUCUCUGUGAACUAUCUGUAUAGUAUCUCAGUUGAAGAGCUUGCAGCUAGCCCCGUGCAGGGAAGAGGAAGAAAUGCUGCACACUAGAGUUCUAUGGAAAUUCUAGUGUUUUUAGUUUAGACUUGUGUUUUCUCUUUUGAAAACUCUAGUGCAAGUUGUGUAUAUAAAUUGUAUAGCAGUUUAUCAAGUUUUUGUGGGAUGACUGUAACAUACUGUUUAUAUUUUGGGUUCUAUGCUUUGAACUAUCAGAUAUGCAAUGUUUUGUUUGAUGGUUUAGACUGUUAAA
Long non-coding RNA from Vigna unguiculata (cowpea), 453 nucleotides. The record is from RefSeq and is a predicted model, not a curated record. Lineage: Eukaryota; Viridiplantae; Streptophyta; Magnoliopsida; Fabales; Fabaceae.